GGCCUGCUCAAAGAGAAAUGAUUAAGGAAGUUCGCACAAAAAGGAAAUAACUAAAGGAAAUAUUACAUCAGGAAUGAAGAAAAAGGAACAGAAAGGGUUCAAGAGCAUGGGUUGUUGUGGAAAGCCAGAGGAUUAGAAAACUCAUCGUGGAGGAGGUACUCGGACCUGAAACUUUUAGGAAAUGUUAACGUUCAUCAAGUCUGUUCCAGCAGCCAAAGUUUGAGCUCAACACACACACACACACCCGCCAGGGCUCUUGUGAAAAGACUUCAGCUUUCACUUGUCUCUACACAAAAGACCACCACCCCGCCAGAUAAAAUACGAAAACCUGGAGUAGACACACACGUACACUGGAUUCCCUUAAUGAUUCAUCGAUCACUGAGCCUCAGAUUAAUCCAGAAUGUGAAACAGACGUCACAUUCGUUGACAAAAGCCACCCCAUCGAUUCUCAAUCACUGAGCCCCACUGGGGAGUGACCCGCGAGGACCACAAUCCCUGACCUCAGUACUCUUGGUCGUUGAUCUAUUCAGGCCUUUAAUCACUGACCACCAGACCCUCCAUGAGGGACCCCAAAGAUAUCCUAUCACAGACACCCACCAGGGACUCCUACCAGCUCCCCUCCAAAAGGAAACACCCGCCCCCGCCUCCCCCAACCCCCGCGCUACCUCCACCAUAUAGCGCCACCAACAACGCAGACGCCCUCAGAAAGCUCCCUCCCACCACGUUUCCACGCCCUGACCCACACACUGACCUGACUCUCCUUGGAAUCGCCGCGACCUCUUAAAAGCUGAACUUACUUCCCUAAACUUCUUCCACUUCUGGGCCCCUCGCCCAACUCCC
Molecule: long non-coding RNA, 840 nt
Filed under: Pan troglodytes (chimpanzee)
Lineage: Eukaryota; Metazoa; Chordata; Mammalia; Primates; Hominidae
Description: long non-coding RNA NONPTRT008208
Source: RNAcentral